Molecule: small RNA, 928 nt
Filed under: Cryptococcus neoformans H99
Lineage: Eukaryota; Fungi; Basidiomycota; Tremellomycetes; Tremellales; Cryptococcaceae
Description: Cryptococcus neoformans var. grubii H99 hypothetical RNA
Source: RNAcentral
GUAAUAUCCCUUGAUUUUUCAAUGUCUCCAGGAUCAAUUUUAUAGACUUAGGGUCAUUUUGUUUGUAUAUCCUCACGAGAACUUCUUCCAUUGAUUCAUCCCCUUUCAGUUCCUUCUCUCUCGUCCCCGAGCUCUCAAAAUCAUCGCUACCUUCCUCCGCCGCCCCGUUAUCACUCUCCUACAUGGUGACCAAAGACAAGCCAUCACCUUCUUUUUCGUCAUCUUCAGAAUUCGACACAUCAUCGGGGUCUUUACCCCGAACACUGGAGCGAAAACGAGCUGUGAUAUUUUGAUAUCGAGGAUUAGACAUGGACGGCUCGUUGUUGAAUGCAACAGAGUUGAAGCGACCCUUGGGAAACAGAUACCGGAGAGUCAACAAUGGUGGUGUUUUCGCGUGUGAGCUACCUAUGGCGCUGAUCCGCUUUUCACAUCGCUGCCAUCACGUCCACGGUUUAGGAUCCUCAUCCCCCUAGAUAUUUAUUACCUCAUCAUUAUGUCGAUAGAAACUUGAGCAUCGGUCAGAUACAUAGCGGCGUACCUUUUGAUUGGCUUCCGCCAUGCCCACACCACCACCAGUUUCAUUGCCUUCAUGGGCACUUUUAUUAUGCCUCCAGCCGCGCCGCAACUCUCCUCCUCCUCGCUCCUCCUAUCCAUUACGUAAUGCAAAGCUCCUGUACCGAACGACCCGUAGUAACACUCUAUUACUACAACGUCGUACAUAUAGGAAGCAAGAUGCGCUUGAAUUGGCCAAGCCGGAAAACGGGUUGCUGGCUGGUUCCAUCUCUCCAAAAAGGUUCGGCCAUUUUUUCAAUCAGGCCGAAAACUGGAUCCAAAGCUUAAAAUUGAAGCGAGUACGUUCCUAUAAAUCAAGAAGUAGAUCUGAAAUCGUGGAGAAGAGCGCAUUAUUACAUAUUUUGAUAUGAAAUUU